RNAcentral lists this ribosomal RNA (463 nucleotides) under uncultured bacterium. RNAcentral describes it as "partial 16S ribosomal RNA". It matches the Rfam family "Bacterial small subunit ribosomal RNA", at positions 28 to 507 of the family's 1533-position model. The record is from RNAcentral.
GAUGAACGCUGACAGAAUGCUUAACACAUGCAAGUCUUUGGCGAAGCUGUGCUUGCACAGCCUAGCCAAGGCGGACGGGUGAGUAACGCGUAAGGAACUUGCCCUGCAGUCAGGGAUAACAGACGGAAACGACUGAUAAGACCUGGUAAAGUCAGGCGGACUCAUGUCCAGCCUUAUGAAAAGAGAUGCUGCAGGAGAGCCUUGCGUCCUAUUAGCUUGUUGGUGGGGUAACGGCCCACCAAGGCGAUGAUAGGUAGCCGGCCUGAGAGGGUGGACGGCCACAAGGGGACUGAGAUACGGCCCUUACUCCUACGGGAGGCAGCAGUGGGGAAUAUUGGACAAUGGGGGCAACCCUGAUCCAGCAAUUCUGUGUGCACGAUGAAGGUUUUCGGAUUGUAAAGUGCUUUCAGCAGGGAAGAAAAAAAUGACGGUACCUGCAGAAGAAGCGACGGCUAAAUACGUG